Molecule: transfer RNA, 68 nt
Filed under: Marmota monax (woodchuck)
Lineage: Eukaryota; Metazoa; Chordata; Mammalia; Rodentia; Sciuridae
Description: tRNA.Ala
Rfam family: tRNA (bases 3-63)
About the family: Transfer RNA (tRNA) molecules are approximately 80 nucleotides in length. Their secondary structure includes four short double-helical elements and three loops (D, anti-codon, and T loops). Further hydrogen bonds mediate the characteristic L-shaped molecular structure. tRNAs have two regions of fundamental functional importance: the anti-codon, which is responsible for specific mRNA codon recognition, and the 3' end, to which the tRNAs corresponding amino acid is attached (by aminoacyl-tRNA synthetases). tRNAs cope with the degeneracy of the genetic code in two manners: having more than one tRNA (with a specific anti-codon) for a particular amino acid; and 'wobble' base-pairing, i.e. permitting non-standard base-pairing at the 3rd anti-codon position.
Source: RNAcentral
GUUGUGGCUCAGCGUUAGAGCACUCGUCUGGCAAGUGUGGGGCACUGGGUUCGAUCCUCAGCAUCACA